RNAcentral lists this ribosomal RNA (250 nucleotides) under uncultured bacterium. Its description in RNAcentral is "partial 16S ribosomal RNA". It matches the Rfam family "Bacterial small subunit ribosomal RNA", at positions 524 to 773 of the family's 1533-position model. The record is from RNAcentral.
UACGGAGGGUGCAAGCGUUAUCCGGAAUCACUGGGUUUAAAGGGUGCGUAGGCGGCGCUAUAAGUCAGAGGUGAAAGGCCACAGCUUAACUGUGGGACUGCCUUUGAUACUGUAGUGCUUGAAUUAGGUUGAGGUCGGCGGAAUGUGACAUGUAGCGGUGAAAUGCUUAGAUAUGUCAUAGAACACCAAUUGCGAAGGCAGCUGACUAGACCUUAAUUGACGCUGAGGCACGAAAGCGUGGGGAGCGAAC